Molecule: ribosomal RNA, 484 nt
Filed under: uncultured bacterium
Lineage: Bacteria
Description: partial 16S ribosomal RNA
Rfam family: Bacterial small subunit ribosomal RNA
Source: RNAcentral
AUUGAACGCUGGCGGAAUGCUUUACACAUGCCAGUCGAACGGCAGCACGGGGGCAACCCUGGUGGCGAGUGGCGGACGGGUGAGUAAUACAUCGGAACGUGCCCGGUCGUGGGGGAUAACGUAGCGAAAGUUACGCUAAUACCGCAUACGCUCUGAGGAUGAAAGCGGGGGACCUUCGGGCCUCGCGCGCUCGGACGGGCCGAUGUCGGAUUAGGUAGUUGGUGGGGUAAAGGCCUACCAAGCCGACGAUCUGUAGCUGGUCUGAGAGGACGACCAGCCACACUGGGACUGAGACACGGCCCAGACUCCUACGGGAGGCAGCAGUGGGGAAUUUUGGACAAUGGGCGCAAGCCUGAUCCAGCCAUUCCGCGUGCAGGACGAAGGCCUUCGGGUUGUAAACUGCUUUUGUAUGGAACGAAAAGGCUCUGGCUAAUACCUGGGGCUCAUGACGGUACCGAAAGAAUAAGCACCGGCUAACUACGUG